Molecule: ribosomal RNA, 465 nt
Filed under: Vreelandella stevensii
Lineage: Bacteria; Pseudomonadati; Pseudomonadota; Gammaproteobacteria; Oceanospirillales; Halomonadaceae
Description: partial 16S ribosomal RNA
Rfam family: Bacterial small subunit ribosomal RNA
Source: RNAcentral
CCUACGGGAGGCAGCAGUGGGGAAUAUUGGUCAAUGGGGGGAACCCUGAUCCAGCCAUGCCGCGUGUGUGAAGAAGGCCCUCGGGUUGUAAAGCACUUUCAGUGAGGAAGAACGCCUGGUGGUUAAUACCCAUCAGGAAAGACAUCACUCACAGAAGAAGCACCGGCUAACUCCGUGCCAGCAGCCGCGGUAAUACGGAGGGUGCGAGCGUUAAUCGGAAUUACUGGGCGUAAAGCGCGCGUAGGUGGCUUGAUAAGCCGGUUGUGAAAGCCCCGGGCUCAACCUGGGAACGGCAUCCGGAACUGUCAAGCUAGAGUGCAGGAGAGGAAGGUAGAAUUCCCGGUGUAGCGGUGAAAUGCGUAGAGAUCGGGAGGAAUACCAGUGGCGAAGGCGGCCUUCUGGACUGACACUGACACUGAGGUGCGAAAGCGUGGGUAGCAAACAGGAUUAGAUACCCGUGUAGUC